AGACCAUGGUGUGGGCACUCUCUCUGAAGAUCUUUGAACCUUUCCCAGACUUCAAACAAUCUCUCACCGGCCUGUUGUGUGAUAGCAAUAAUCUGGCUCCUUAGACG
Spinacia oleracea (spinach) is the source of this 107-nucleotide non-coding RNA. Lineage: Eukaryota; Viridiplantae; Streptophyta; Magnoliopsida; Caryophyllales; Amaranthaceae. The record is from Rfam.